CCAGACUCCUACGGGAGGCAGCAGUGGGGGAUAUUGCACAAUGGGGGGAACCCUGAUGCAGCGACGCCGCGUGGGUGAAGGAGUGCUUCGGCAUGUAAAGCCCUAUCGGCAGGGAAGAAGCAAGACGGUACCUGACUAAGAAGCCCCGGCUAACUACGUGCCAGCAGCCGCGGUAAUACGGAGGAUGCGAGCGUUAUCCGGGUUUAUUGGGUUUAAAGGGUGCGUAGGCGGACGCUUAAGUCAGCGGUAAAAUUGCGGGGCUCAACCUCGUCGAGCCGUUGAAACUGGGUGCCUUGAGUGGGCGAGAAGUACGCGGAAUGCGUGGUGUAGCGGUGAAAUGCAUAGAUAUCACGCAGAACUCCGAUUGCGAAGGCAGCGUACCGGCGCCCAACUGACGCUGAAGCACGAAGGCGUGGGUAUCGAACAGGAUUAGAUACCCCGGUACC
RNAcentral lists this ribosomal RNA (446 nucleotides) under uncultured bacterium. Its description in RNAcentral is "bacterial SSU rRNA". It matches the Rfam family "Bacterial small subunit ribosomal RNA", at positions 331 to 796 of the family's 1533-position model. The record is from RNAcentral.